Long non-coding RNA from Myotis myotis, 2159 nucleotides. RefSeq lists it as uncharacterized. Lineage: Eukaryota; Metazoa; Chordata; Mammalia; Chiroptera; Vespertilionidae. The transcript is spliced from 3 exons. The record is from RefSeq and is a predicted model, not a curated record.
CCUGGGUGCCAGAGGGAAGCCGGUGCUGGCAGCCGGGGGAAGGAAGGCCUACUUUUGCAUGAAUUUCAUGCAUUGAGCCUCUAGUAAUAUAAUAUUUACCAAAAGGGUAAAAAUUUCAUGGUUCCCAAUUGCCUCUGAAAGACAGCCCCAAUUUUUCACUGGACAUUUGUCCACCUAAAAUAAAUGCUAGGUUAUCCUGGGUCCCUUGCAGCUAACUACGGCCAUGUGACUAAGUUCCGGCCAGCUGAUGACAAACAACAGCAGUAUAGACAGUUUCUGUGAUGCGUCCUGUUCUUUGCCCCCUCCUGCUUCCUGCUGGAGCUCCAGGAGCCAUGACGAUUUCGGAAUGGAGGCCAUACAGGGCAGAGCAACAAGAUAGAAGGGGCCUGGGUUUCUAUGACCACACCAUGCCCUGAAUUGGCUCCUUUAGACUUAGAGAAAUGAGGGAGACAUUCACUUCAUCUUUAAAAAAAAAAACACACAACCCAACACAUUGUUAUUUGGGGAACCGUUGAAUGAGACAGAUUUAAAUCCAACUUAUUCACUGGCAUAUGUCAGAAAUCAUAGCAGAGGCAUGCGACUAAGUGGAUGUGGGGAACACUGGCCUGCCAUGCCCGAGGGAGAAGAAAGGAGAGGGACGGGGAGGGAGCAGAGCCGGUUCCUUUCUCAGGAGCGAGAGGGGUGGGAUGCGUGCAAGGCCCUACUUUACCAUCUGGGAAGCUCCACACAAGAAUGCAAGAUAGAGUUCAAGGGAGCAACUGCUCAUUAAGGAUCCAUCGCUGUGACUCACCCACGCAGGCUGUUAGGCACAGUCCUGGCCCUGCAGUUGCCUGCAGUCCCGUGGGGAUCCUGGCAGGUACCCAUGGAGCUCUACUAACGAUGGCGCCCACUGUUGACUGAGCCAGGCCCGAUGCGGCCCCUCGCUGCAUCCCCAGAUCACCAACCAGGUGAUGUGAGCGUCUCUGGUGCCAUUCCCAGCUUCCAGAGGAAGAAGCUGAAACGUGAAGAGGUCAUGCAAGUCUCCAAAAUCACCCAGGUAGACAGGCUGUUUGGCUCAGCUGCCGGAGCCCGGGCAGAUGAUAAACCGCUGCCUCCUAGGUGGAAGCAGAGGAAAGCGAGAUGAAAACCCUGGCGCGCUGAACAAGUGAGCCUUUGAGCCGGGGCCGGAAGGUUCUGCAAGGUGAAGUGGGACACAAGAGGAGCUGCAAGUGGGUGGCACAGCGUGAACGAAGGGACGGAGCCGGGAAAACACCAGGCUGGCUUGAGAAGCCACGAGUGGAGGAGUCUAGCUGGACUGUGGGAGGUGGCUGAUGAGGGUUUAUUUUCUUUCUGUGCUCGAUGUCACUCUGUUGUUGGACGUGCUAUUGUUCUGGAGCUGGCGAGGGGAGGGGAGGGGAGCAGGAGGCAGGAACCACAUUGUGAGUGAACUUGAACUUGGCAGCGGGAGCCUCGGGAGGUAAGCUUCCCGUCUGUCUGUCUGUCCUGCAGGGCUCCCUCCCUGUCACCAGUUCUCCCGUGGCCACAGCUGAACUCUUCCUGUGCCCUGAUGGCACCGUGAGUGGACACAACAUGGCCUCGUCUUUUGUGUAUGCUCACCUGAUUGGAAAGGGACGUGUGAUCUUAUUUUCCCAUUCUGUGAAUUACAGCUCGGAAAGGAUUUUAUUGUGCCCCCCGAUGACAUCACUUUGGAAAUAUCAUUCAAUUGGGCGGCCUGCUUUCCUCUGGGCGAUGGUGAAUUUUCAACCACGUAGAGAAAGGAAAGGACUGCCAACCUCACAGCCUUCGACAUGAUGUGGAAUGAAUAUCAGUCUAUUCAAACAGAGCUGUGACCAGAAGGGGAAAAAAAACAACACAGAACUUCGCCCGCUUUGCACAGAAAAUGCAUUUUCCAGUCGCUUUUGGACAGAGGCCCUCCGCGAAUAUGUUUAAAGUCGUGUACAACAGGAAUAUGCUAUCACACGUAACCAUGUUUUAAUAAACACUUCAUCUUUUUGUAGCGCUCUCCUUUCAUCACAAUAAUAGAAAUAGAACACCAUAUAUCACUGUAAAACACAUUUCCACAUAAAUGCUGAUAAGCACAAAAUAUUUUUCAUCAUUUACAUUUUCGCCGUAAUAAUAUAUGGCAGGAUUAAAGCUGCAUCCAUCAUGUGUCUAACUAA